UACUCGAGUGGCGAACGGGUGAGUAACACGUGGGUGAUCUGCCCUGCACUUCGGGAUAAGCCUGGGAAACUGGGUCUAAUACCGGAUAGGAGCCAUUUUUAGUGUGAUGGUUGGAAAGUUUUUUCGGUGUAGGAUGAGCUCGCGGCCUAUCAGCUUGAUGGUGGGGUAAUGGCCUACCAAGGCGGCGACGGGUAGCCGGCCUGAGAGGGUGGACGGCCACAUUGGGACUGAGAUACGGCCCAG
RNAcentral lists this ribosomal RNA (243 nucleotides) under uncultured Actinomycetales bacterium. Its description in RNAcentral is "partial 16S ribosomal RNA". It matches the Rfam family "Bacterial small subunit ribosomal RNA", at positions 88 to 334 of the family's 1533-position model. Lineage: Bacteria; Bacillati; Actinomycetota; Actinomycetes; Actinomycetales. The record is from RNAcentral.